AGGGUCGUGCACACCUCGGUGCUCUCACACAUAUCCAUCUCACCCUUUGUGCAUCACCGCGUGGAGGCCCCUUUUGGCUAUUUCUGAGGGGGGUUUUCACGUUUUUACACAGACACCCUUUUAAUGCAUGUGUAGAAUGUCUUACUUUUUGUGAUCACACACAAUCAAUACAACUUUCAACAACGGAUCUCUUGGCUCUCGCAUCGAUGAAGAACGCAGCGAAAUGCGAUACGUAAUGUGAAUUGCAGAAUUCAGUGAAUCAUCGAAUCUUUGAACGCACCUUGCGCCCUUUGGUAUUCCGAGGGGCACACCCGUUUGAGUGUCGUGACAUCCUCAAACCUUCUUGGUUUCUUGACCGGGAAGGCUUUGGACUUUGGAGGCUUUUGCUGGCCUUCUCUUGUUGAAGCCAGCUCCUCUGAAAUGAAUUAGCAGGGUCUGCUUUGCCGAUCCUUGACGUGAUAAGAUGUUUCUACGUCUUGGGUUAGCACUGUUUGCUCUGGAUCCUGCUUCUAACUGUCUCAUGGAAGACAAUGGUCGAGUGAUUGCCACUUGACCCACAAACCUUGACCUCAAAUCGGGUGAGACUACCCGCUGAACUUAAGCAUAUCAAUAA
Molecule: ribosomal RNA, 613 nt
Filed under: uncultured fungus
Lineage: Eukaryota; Fungi
Description: eukaryotic LSU rRNA
Rfam family: 5.8S ribosomal RNA (bases 172-325)
Source: RNAcentral